CCUACGGGAGGCAGCAGUAAGGAAUAUUGGUCAAUGGAGGCAACUCUGAACCAGCCAUGCCGCGUGCAGGAAGACGGCCCUAUGGGUUGUAAACUGCUUUUGAACUAGAGAAAACCUUGGUACGUGUACCGAGUUGAUAGUAUAGUUAGAAUAGGCAUCGGCUAACUUCGUGCCAGCAGCCGCGGUAAGACGAAGGAUGCAAGCGUUAUCCGGAUUCAUUGGGUUUAAAGGGUGCGUAGGCGGACUGAUAAGUCAGUGGUGAAAUCUCUCAGCUUAACUGAGAAACUGCCAUUGAUACUGUUAGUCUAGAGUACAGAUGAUGUGGGCGGAAUAUGACAUGUAGUGGUGAAAUACUUAGAUAUGUCAUAGAACACCGAUUGCGAAGGCAGCUCACAAAACUGUAACUGACGCUGAGGCACGAAAGUGCGGGGAUCAAACAGGAUUAGAUACCCUGGUAGUCCGCACCGUAAACGAUGAUUACUCGUUGUUGGCGAUAUGACAGUCAGCGACCAAGCGAAAGCGAUAAGAAUCCACCUGGGAGUACGCCGGNACGGUUGAACGUUAAGGAAUUGACGGCGNGAGAGNGCGAGGACGACACGAGGGGAGGAGG
RNAcentral lists this ribosomal RNA (610 nucleotides) under uncultured bacterium. RNAcentral's name for it is "bacterial SSU rRNA". It matches the Rfam family "Bacterial small subunit ribosomal RNA", at positions 338 to 959 of the family's 1533-position model. The record is from RNAcentral.